AUGAGUCUCCUCUGCUGGAACUGUCGCGGGGCUGGCAAACCCAUGACAGUUCGAGAGCUUCGUGACCUAACGAAGCAGUUUGCCCCCUCUGUACUUUGUAUUUUGGAAACUCAAAUAGAGGGUUCUAGAGUCGAGAUUUUGGUUGGUUCUUUAGGUUAUAAUAAGAGCUUUGCUGUUUCUAGCUCUGGCAGAAGCGGCGGCUUAGGCAUUUUUUGGAAUGAAGAAAUA
This 228-nucleotide ribosomal RNA is filed under the name Triticum aestivum (bread wheat). Its description in RNAcentral is "partial small subunit ribosomal RNA". The record is from RNAcentral. Lineage: Eukaryota; Viridiplantae; Streptophyta; Magnoliopsida; Poales; Poaceae.